Molecule: ribosomal RNA, 590 nt
Filed under: Morchella galilaea
Lineage: Eukaryota; Fungi; Ascomycota; Pezizomycetes; Pezizales; Morchellaceae
Description: partial 28S ribosomal RNA
Rfam family: Eukaryotic large subunit ribosomal RNA
Source: RNAcentral
CGGAGGAAAAGAAACCAACAGGGAUUGCCUCAGUAACGGCGAGUGAAGCGGCAAAAGCUCAAAUUUUAAAGCUGGCACCUCCGGUGUCCGCGUUGUAAUUUUGUGAGGCAUCUCCGGGUAGGGCGCCGGCCUAAGUUCCUUGGAACAGGACGUCAUAGAGGGUGAGAAUCCCGUGCUUGGCUGGCUGUCCCCGUCCAUGUGAGGUGUCUUCGACGAGUCGAGUUGUUUGGGAAUGCAGCUCAAAAUGGGUGGUAAAUUUCAUCUAAAGCUAAAUAUUGGUGGGAGACCGAUAGCGCACAAGUAGAGUGAUCGAAAGAUGAAAAGCACUUUGAAAAUAGAGUUAAAAAGUACGUGAAAUUGUUGAAAGGGAAGCGCUUGAGACCAGACUUCGGUGGGGAGUGAUCAGCCGUCCUUCUGGGCGGUGCACUUGCUCCCCUCCGGGCCAGCAUCGGUUGGGACGGCGGGAUAAAGGUCCCGGGAAUGUGGCUCCUUUCGGGGAGUGUUAUAGCCCGGGUGAAUGCCGCCAGCCCCGACCGAGGACCGCGCCUUCGGGCUAGGAUGCUUGGCAUAAUGGUCUUCAGCGACCCGUC